Molecule: ribosomal RNA, 253 nt
Filed under: uncultured bacterium
Lineage: Bacteria
Description: partial 16S ribosomal RNA
Rfam family: Bacterial small subunit ribosomal RNA
Source: RNAcentral
UACAGAGGGGGCUAGCGUUGUUCGGAAUUACUGGGCGUAAAGGGUGCGUAGGCGGCCUGCCAAGUCAGGCGUGAAAUCCCGGGGCUUAACCUCGGAAUUGCACUUGAAACUAGCAGGAUUGAGGACGAGAGAGGAUAGUGGAAUUCCUAGUGUAGGAGUGAAAUCCGUAGAUAUUAGGAGGAACACCAGUGGCGAAGGCGGCUAUCUGGCUCGUAUCUGACGCUGAGGCACGAAAGCGUGGGGAUCAAACAGG